AAGGCUUCGGCCGGACAGGGAUGGGCAUGCGGCGCAUUAGGCAGUAGGCGGGGUAACGGCCCACCUAACCGACGAUGCGUAGGGGUUCUGAGAGGAAGGUCCCCCACACUGGUACUGAGACACGGACCAGACUCCUACGGGAGGCAGCAGUGAGGAAUAUUGGUCAAUGGUCGGGAGACUGAACCAGCCAAGCCGCGUGAGGGAGGAAGGUACAGAGUAUCGUAAACCUCUUUUGUCAGGGAACAAAGACUGGGACGCGUCCCCGGAUGAGUGUACCUGAAGAAAAAGCAUCGGCUAACUCCGUGCCAGCAGCCGCGGUAAUACGGAGGAUGCGAGCGUUAUCCGGAUUUAUUGGGUUUAAAGGGUGCGCAGGCGGUCUGUUAAGUCAGCGGUCAAAGCCCGGGGCUCAACCCCGGCCCGCCGUUGAAACUGGCAGUCUCGAGUUGGAGAGAAGUAUGCGGAAUGCGCGGUGUAGCGGUGAAAUGCAUAGAUAUCGCGCAGAACUCCGAUUGCGAAGGCAGCAUGCCGGCUCCACACUGACGCUGAGGCACGAAAGCGUGGGUAUCGAACAGGAUUAGAUACCCUGGUAGUCCACGCAGUAAACGAUGAAUGCUGGCUGUCCGGGGGGACUGACCCCUGG
RNAcentral lists this ribosomal RNA (640 nucleotides) under uncultured bacterium. RNAcentral describes it as "bacterial SSU rRNA". It matches the Rfam family "Bacterial small subunit ribosomal RNA", at positions 204 to 842 of the family's 1533-position model. The record is from RNAcentral.